GUCGGGUCCGCGCCCCUGCCGCCAACGUGUGCGCGCGGAUGCUGGUGACGAGGAUAAAUGGGAGGACGCCGCCGCCACCGAUGUCAGAGGAGGAGGAAGGGGAGGCGCUUCUCUGGCUAGAUCCGUGACCCCCACGUCGCCAUCUAUGUCCACCCUCCUUGACAGAUCGAUGGAGCGGACGUCGCCGAGCUCCACGCCUUCUCGUCUCCCUCUCGGCAGAGGGUGUCCGCCGGAGAUGGGUUCUUGCGGGUCAAGGGCGUCGGGCUGCCCAAGAAGCUGCGCCUCGCCUCGUCGCCGCCGUCCAAGGACAAGAAUGUUGUCGAUGGCUUUCUGGUUGGUGUCGACCUCAAGAUCGAGUUGUUCGUCCCAAGUGGCGGCGGGCGUCCUCGUCGAGGUCGUUCUUGUCGUUAACUUCAUCUCCAACCCCAUCCACAUGUGUACCAGCUUCUGGAGUGCCCAAUUUGCUUCCUGGAAUUGAUUUUCGCUAGGAACAUAACCUUCAACGGUUUGUAGCUGAAGGAGAGCAGAGUAAGGAUGCAACAAAAGCUUAUAUGGCAUUCCAAGUGCGUCUCUGCAUUCCUUAAGAAAUUGUUGAUGAUGUUCAUACUGACAUCUGCGGCCAAUUGUUUGAAAAGGUUGUCAAGGAAGCAAUUUUGUCAGUUGAUGGCACAACGUUGAUAAACGAGAGGCAGUUAGGAAAGCAUCACAGGGUCUAAACUUGAAAAAGGAGGCUGCUAUGACCAUCUUUAGUAAAGAAAGUACGAAAAUUAUUCCUGAACUACAUUCAGAAAGCAAAAGCAGCUGGGAACUGCAUUGAACAGGCAAAAGAAUUGAAGAAGUUAAUUUCCUCCUUGCAGAGACCCAGGGAGCAAAUAGCGGAUGCAGAGGCUCUACUGGACAUUACAACCACCUUGGUAAAAUCUGUGAGGUCCCAGUCAAGUGAAGGAAUCACACCUUCUGAUUUCGUAACAGCAUUGCUGAAGAAAUUUGGGCAGCAAGCAACCCUUGAUUCUGAGCCUGGCUCAUUGCGCUAGGUUGAUAUUGGGCUUUCUUAUUCACAUGCCUUCAGGGCUGCACCUGGAUGCUGCACCAUGCUUGGACCCAUGGAUAUGGAAGUAAAACAGCGUAAGCUUUCAGUUUUUAAUUGAAAAAGAAGUAGGCCAACUGAAAAAACUUGUCCUGAAGAGCUUGCUGAUUCUUUGGAGGGAGCAAAGCCAGACACUAGCCGAAAUGUGACUGUUGUAUUUUUUUUUGAAAGAUCCAGCAAAAUGUUGGCUUGAUUCGAUUUAGCAGGAAGCAACGGAAGAACAACAAUAUGAAGAUCCGAAGAUCAAAGAAAAAGAAAAACAACAGCCCUAUUAGCUGCCGAGCUACCCACCACAGUCAGCACCACUACAAAGCAAAAAGGGCAUGUCCUAGGCUAAGCGUGACCGCCGCGUCACUUGACCAACGCCGGUAUCCUCCGGCGACAACAGCAGCUCCAACUAAGACUUUCUUUGUCAACGCACCAUCCACCCUUGAAGCAGAGUGCAGGCAGAUGGCGGAACUCGGUCGGUCCCAGAAAAAGCUUCGUCUUGGACUUAUCAGUGAUGGCGUACAUUGCGUCUGGAGCUUCACCAAAAUCAGCGGCGAGCACCGGAGGAGCGCCAUAUAGAACCUCCAAGUAGUGUCUCAAAAACAUGAUGCUCCCAACAGAGGAACGACGUCGGAGAUGCCGUCAUCACGCCGAUCCAACCGGACCUAGGCUUUCGCCCGGAGACACUACCAACCAAGCCCGAGGAAGAUGCCGACACACCUCGGUGGCGCCUCCAAGGAGGAAAAUGACACCCUCAGGCGCCAUCGGCACCGGCUCUUGUUGUGCAGGACUUUCGUCCGUAUCGUCGUCGCACACCUCCGCUCAAGCCCUACAGAGCUCGUCCAUGUCGUCUUUACAUCCAACACAAGACAAUGAUUUAGACAGCUUCGGGCCCCGGAAAACAUCAUCCGGAAUAGCCCUACAUGUUGUUUGCGGCUAGAUCUC
This is a long non-coding RNA of Triticum dicoccoides, 2020 nucleotides long. RefSeq lists it as uncharacterized. The transcript has 7 exons. NCBI's taxonomy places the organism in Eukaryota, Viridiplantae, Streptophyta, Magnoliopsida, Poales, Poaceae. The record is from RefSeq and is a predicted model, not a curated record.